UCCCUGGUGGCUCAGAUGGUAAAGAAUCUGCCUGCAAUGCAGGAGAUCUGGGUUCAAUCCCUGGAUUGGGAA
This 72-nucleotide transfer RNA is filed under the name Bos taurus (domestic cattle). It matches the Rfam family "tRNA". Rfam says of the family: Transfer RNA (tRNA) molecules are approximately 80 nucleotides in length. Their secondary structure includes four short double-helical elements and three loops (D, anti-codon, and T loops). Further hydrogen bonds mediate the characteristic L-shaped molecular structure. tRNAs have two regions of fundamental functional importance: the anti-codon, which is responsible for specific mRNA codon recognition, and the 3' end, to which the tRNAs corresponding amino acid is attached (by aminoacyl-tRNA synthetases). tRNAs cope with the degeneracy of the genetic code in two manners: having more than one tRNA (with a specific anti-codon) for a particular amino acid; and 'wobble' base-pairing, i.e. permitting non-standard base-pairing at the 3rd anti-codon position. RNAcentral also lists the same sequence under 1 other name. The record is from Rfam by way of RNAcentral. Lineage: Eukaryota; Metazoa; Chordata; Mammalia; Artiodactyla; Bovidae.